GAGAACGCUGGCGGCGUGCCUAACACAUGCAAGUCGAACGAAGCAUAGCAAUAUGCUUAGUGGCGGACGGGUGAGUAACGCGUGAACAAUCUGCCCUGUACAAAGGAAUAGCCUCGGGAAACCGGGAUUAAAACCGUAUGACACUUUAGUAUCGCAUGAUAAGAAAGUCAAAUCGAAUAGAGGUAUGGGAUGAGUUCGCGUCUGAUUAGCUGGUUGGCGGGGUAACGGCCCACCAAGGCGACGAUCAGUAGCCGGCCUGAGAGGGUGAACGGCCACACUGGAACUGAGACACGGUCCAGACUCCUACGGGAGGCAGCAGUGGGGAAUAUUGCACAAUGGAGGGAACUCUGAUGCAGCGACGCCGCGUGAGUGAAGAAGGUCUUCGGAUCGUAAAACUCUGUCCUUGGUGAAGAAAAGGACGGUAGCCAAGGAGGAAGCCCCGGCUAACUACGUG
This 454-nucleotide ribosomal RNA is filed under the name uncultured bacterium. RNAcentral's name for it is "bacterial SSU rRNA". It matches the Rfam family "Bacterial small subunit ribosomal RNA", at positions 31 to 507 of the family's 1533-position model. The record is from RNAcentral.